CUCAGUUCGGAUUGUAGGCUGAAACUCGCCUACAUGAAGCUGGAGUUGCUAGUAAUCGCGAAUCAGCAUGUCGCGGUGAAUACGUUCCCGGGCCUUGUACACACCGCCCGUCACACCAUGAGAGUUGGCAAUACCCAACGUACGUGAUCUAACCCGCAAGGGAGGAAGCGUCCUAAGGUAGGGUCAGCGAUUGGGGUGAAGUCGUAACAAGGUAAC
RNAcentral lists this ribosomal RNA (216 nucleotides) under uncultured bacterium. RNAcentral's name for it is "partial 16S ribosomal RNA". It matches the Rfam family "Bacterial small subunit ribosomal RNA", at positions 1287 to 1500 of the family's 1533-position model. The record is from RNAcentral.